This 253-nucleotide ribosomal RNA is filed under the name uncultured bacterium. RNAcentral's name for it is "partial 16S ribosomal RNA". It matches the Rfam family "Bacterial small subunit ribosomal RNA", at positions 524 to 776 of the family's 1533-position model. The record is from RNAcentral.
UACGUAGGUGGCAAGCGUUGUCCGGAUUUACUGGGCGUAAAGAGCGCGCAGGCGGUCGUGCAAGUCGCGUGUGAAAGCCCCCGGCUCAACUGGGGAGGGUCACGCGAUACUGCUCGACUCGAAGGCAGGAGAGGGAAGUGGAAUUCCCGGUGUAGUGGUGAAAUUCGUAGAUAUUCGCAAGAACACCAGUGGCGAAGGCGGCCAACUGGUCCGGUUCUGACGCUGAGGCGCGAAAGCGUGGGGAGCAAACAGG